GUCCAAAAAGCUUAGCCAAUCAAAACCUUUGGCAACAAACAGGUCAUUCAGUAUUGAGAUGCGUUUUCUCCUACGCUUCGUUUUCUCUAAUCAAAACUGUAGUCUAUCAUCUCGCUUCAUAUCCUUCUCGAUGGCUCAGCCUUUCCUGUCACCUCUUUCCAAACUCCCCUUUCGCUUUGAUUUUCUUCAGGCCCUAACCAGCAAUCGAGCAAUAUAUCAGGUUUCCUUUCUAAAUCUAAUACCCACCGCUCUACACUUCAUUCCGUCGAAACACUUUCCAGGGUUUCUGUUUUGUUGUGUGAUCAUGAGACUCAAGAGAUUGAAGGAGCGACCUUAUAUGAUUCUAUGUCUACGAUGAGGAUGAGUUUGAUGACCCCAAAACAAAUAUGAAACAAACGAUGAUAUUUAUUGAUUACCGCCCAAGCUUCACUCUUUGUUUUGUUUUGUGUUUUUUUCCUUUGUUACACUCAUGCUGAUUACUUCCUAAUUAAUUGAGUUCUCUGUGGUUUAUUAUUUUUUAUGUGUGGAAAGGAUCUCACUUUGAGUAAUAGCUCCAGCAAAAGGUACAACUUCUCUUUUGAAUUUGAUACUUGAUCUGCUUUCAUUACGGGGACUCCAAAUCAACUUAUAUUAGGCUAACAAUCUCUCUUGCCUGUUCAAUUGCUAUUAAUCUCGAUUCUGGAGAGUUUCUCGUCGUCAAACAGGUUAAUUUGAAAACUGUCUGAUUUUGAAUACUGUAAUUUUACUCUGCAAUUUGUUUUAAAAUUCCCCUCUCUCCCUGAAGUUUGAUUCUUAUGAUGAGUUUUUCGGUGAUCUGUGGGCUCUCCAAGCUCAUUCGUUCUACAUCUCAUCACCUUAAUUUGUUUAAUUACUCACGUAUUCUAUAAUUUUUUUGGGUGUUUACUCUAGCGUUAUUAUUGUUGUUUUUAUUGACUGGAUUUUAGUUGCUAAUAAACAUACAUGUUUCUUUGUUGAUAUUGUCCUCCGACUUCUCUUUCAUCAUAUUAUCUUAGUUAUUUUUUCUCUACAAUGAUUUGAUUUAUUCAUGACUUUCCUACUUUUGUUCAUCAUAUUCAGAAGCUGGAAAAGAAAGUUAAGCUUCUCAAGAAUCACUCACAUCCAAAUAUAGUUGUAUUUACGCACAUUGAGAGAAUGAAACUUUGAACAUCU
Long non-coding RNA from Brassica rapa (field mustard), 1170 nucleotides. RefSeq lists it as uncharacterized. The record is from RefSeq and is a predicted model, not a curated record. NCBI's taxonomy places the organism in Eukaryota, Viridiplantae, Streptophyta, Magnoliopsida, Brassicales, Brassicaceae.